UACGGGGGGAGCAAGCGUUGUUCGGAUUUACUGGGCGUAAAGGGCGCGUAGGCGGCCACCGCAAGUCGAUUGUGAAAUCUCCGGGCUUAACCCGGAAAGGUCAACCGAUACUGCGGGGCUAGAGUGCAGAAGGGGCAACUGGAAUUCUCGGUGUAGCGGUGAAAUGCGUAGAUAUCGAGAGGAACACCUGCGGCGAAGGCGGGUUGCUGGGCUGACACUGACGCUGAUGUGCGAAGGCUAGGGGAGCGAACGGG
This 254-nucleotide ribosomal RNA is filed under the name uncultured bacterium. RNAcentral's name for it is "partial 16S ribosomal RNA". It matches the Rfam family "Bacterial small subunit ribosomal RNA", at positions 524 to 776 of the family's 1533-position model. The record is from RNAcentral.